This 52-nucleotide microRNA precursor is filed under the name Canis lupus familiaris (dog). Its description in RNAcentral is "mir-1302 microRNA precursor family". It matches the Rfam family "mir-1302 microRNA precursor family". Lineage: Eukaryota; Metazoa; Chordata; Mammalia; Carnivora; Canidae. The record is from Rfam by way of RNAcentral.
UUUUUAAUAUAAGUGUGUCCCAUGUAACAUUUGAGAUAUACUUACACUAAAA